GGGGAUGUGCUGGAACUGGCAGACAGGUGGCGCUUAGGACGCCAUGUCGCAAGACGUGUGGGUUCGACCCCCACCAUCCCCACCA
This 85-nucleotide transfer RNA is filed under the name Chloroflexota bacterium. RNAcentral's name for it is "Chloroflexi bacterium tRNA-Leu". It matches the Rfam family "tRNA". From Rfam's summary of the family: Transfer RNA (tRNA) molecules are approximately 80 nucleotides in length. Their secondary structure includes four short double-helical elements and three loops (D, anti-codon, and T loops). RNAcentral also lists the same sequence under 1 other name. The record is from RNAcentral. Lineage: Bacteria; Bacillati; Chloroflexota.